GCGAAAACUUUACAAUGCUGGCAACAGCGAUAAGGGAACCUCGAGUGCCAGGUUACAAAUCUGGCUGUCGAGAUGCCUAAAAAGCAUUUCAUAGCAAGGGCCAUGCAAGACCGGUGCCAGCCGCCGCGGUAACACCGGCGGCUCGAGUGGUAACCGUUAUUAUUGGGUCUAAAGGGUCUGUAGCCGGCCGGAUAAGUCUCUUGAGAAAUCUGGCAGCUUAACUGUCAGGCUUUCAGGAGAUACUGUCUGGCUCGAGGCCGGGAGAGGUGAGAGGUACUUCAGGGGUAGGGGUGAAAUCUUGUAAUCCUUGAAGGACAAACAGUGGCGAAGGCGUCUCACCAGAACGGACCUGACGGCAAGGGACGAAAGCUAGGGGCACGAACC
RNAcentral lists this ribosomal RNA (384 nucleotides) under uncultured prokaryote. Its description in RNAcentral is "bacterial SSU rRNA". It matches the Rfam family "Archaeal small subunit ribosomal RNA", at positions 341 to 725 of the family's 1478-position model. The record is from RNAcentral.